UUUAUGGAGAGUUUGAUCCUGGCUCAGGAUGAACGCUGGCGGCGUGCCUAAUACAUGCAAGUCGAGCGAACGGACGAGAAGCUUGCUUUUCUGAUGUUAGCGGCGGACGGGUGAGUAACACGUGGAUAACCUACCUAUAAGACUGGGAUAACUUCGGGAAACCGGAGCUAAUACCGGAUAAUAUUUUGAACCGCAUGGUUCAAAAGUGAAAGACGGUCUUGCUGUCACUUAUAGAUGGAUCCGCGCUGCAUUAGCUAGUUGGUAAGGUAACGGCUUACCAAGGCAACGAUGCAUAGCCGACCUGAGAGGGUGAUCUGCCACACUGGAACUGAGACACGGUCCAGACUCCUACGGGAGGCAGCAGUAGGGAAUCUUCCGCAAUGGGCGAAAGCCUGACGGAGCAACGCCGCGUGAGUGAUGAAGGUCUUCGGAUCGUAAAACUCUGUUAUUAGGGAAGAACAUAUGUGUAAGUAACUGUGCACAUCUUGACGGUACCUAAUCAGAAAGCCACGGCUAACUACGUGCCAGCAGCCGCGGUAAUACGUAGGUGGCAAGCGUUAUCCGGAAUUAUUGGGCGUAAAGCGCGCGUAGGCGGUUUUUUAAGUCUGAUGUGAAAGCCCACGGCUCAACCGUGGAGGGUCAUUGGAAACUGGAAAACUUGAGUGCAGAAGAGGAAAGUGGAAUUCCAUGUGUAGCGGUGAAAUGCGCAGAGAUAUGGAGGAACACCAGUGGCGAAGGCGACUUUCUGGUCUGUAACUGACGCUGAUGUGCGAAAGCGUGGGGAUCAAACAGGAUUAGAUACCCUGGUAGUCCACGCCGUAAACGAUGAGUGCUAAGUGUUAGGGGGUUUCCGCCCCUUAGUGCUGCAGCUAACGCAUUAAGCACUCCGCCUGGGGAGUACGACCGCAAGGUUGAAACUCAAAGGAAUUGACGGGGACCCGCACAAGCGGUGGAGCAUGUGGUUUAAUUCGAAGCAACGCGAAGAACCUUACCAAAUCUUGACAUCCUUUGACAACUCUAGAGAUAGAGCCUUCCCCUUCGGGGGACAAAGUGACAGGUGGUGCAUGGUUGUCGUCAGCUCGUGUCGUGAGAUGUUGGGUUAAGUCCCGCAACGAGCGCAACCCUUAAGCUUAGUUGCCAUCAUUAAGUUGGGCACUCUAAGUUGACUGCCGGUGACAAACCGGAGGAAGGUGGGGAUGACGUCAAAUCAUCAUGCCCCUUAUGAUUUGGGCUACACACGUGCUACAAUGGACAAUACAAAGGGCAGCGAAACCGCGAGGUCAAGCAAAUCCCAUAAAGUUGUUCUCAGUUCGGAUUGUAGUCUGCAACUCGACUACAUGAAGCUGGAAUCGCUAGUAAUCGUAGAUCAGCAUGCUACGGUGAAUACGUUCCCGGGUCUUGUACACACCGCCCGUCACACCACGAGAGUUUGUAACACCCGAAGCCGGUGGAGUAACCUUUUAGGAGCUAGCCGUCGAAGGUGGGACAAAUGAUUGGGGUGAAGUCGUAACAAGGUAGCCGUAUCGGAAGGUGCGGCUGGAUCACCUCCUUUCU
This 1554-nucleotide ribosomal RNA is filed under the name Staphylococcus aureus. RNAcentral describes it as "16S ribosomal RNA". It matches the Rfam family "Bacterial small subunit ribosomal RNA". The record is from RNAcentral. Lineage: Bacteria; Bacillati; Bacillota; Bacilli; Caryophanales; Staphylococcaceae.